This 497-nucleotide ribosomal RNA is filed under the name uncultured bacterium. Its description in RNAcentral is "partial 16S ribosomal RNA". It matches the Rfam family "Bacterial small subunit ribosomal RNA", at positions 28 to 507 of the family's 1533-position model. The record is from RNAcentral.
GAUGAACGCUGGCGGCGUGCCUAAUACAUGCAAGUCGAGCGAACGGACGAGAAGCUUGCUUCUCUGAUGUUAGCGGCGGACGGGUGAGUAACACGUGGAUAACCUACCUAUAAGACUGGGAUAACUUCGGGAAACCGGAGCUAAUACCGGAUGAUAUUUUGAACCGCAUGGGUCAAAAGUGAAAGACGGUCUUGCUGUCACUGAUAGAUGGAUCCGAGCUGCAUUAGCUAGUUGGUAAGGUAACGGCUUACCAAGGCAACGAUGCAUAGCCGACCUGAGAGGGUGAUCGGCGCUACUGGAACUGAGACACGGGCCAGACUCCUACGGGAGGCAGCAGUAGGGAAUCUUCCGCAAUGGGCGAAAGCCUGAUGGAGCAACGGCGCGUGAGUGAUGAAGGUCUUCGGAUCGUAAAACUCUGUUAUUAGGGAAGAACAUAUGUGUAAGUAACUGUGCACAUCUUGACGGUACCUAAGCAGAAAGCAACGGCUAACUACGUG